This 497-nucleotide ribosomal RNA is filed under the name uncultured bacterium. RNAcentral's name for it is "partial 16S ribosomal RNA". It matches the Rfam family "Bacterial small subunit ribosomal RNA", at positions 28 to 507 of the family's 1533-position model. The record is from RNAcentral.
GAUGAACGCUGGCGGCGUGCCUAAUACAUGCAAGUCGAGCGAACGGACGAGAAGCUUGCUUCUCUGAUGUUAGCGGCGGACGGGUGAGUCACACGUGGAUAACCUACCUAUCAGACUGGGAUAACUUCGGGAAACCGGAGCUAAUACCGGAUAAUAUUUUGAACCGCAUGGUUCAAAAGUGAAAGACGGUCUUGCUGUCACUUAUAGAUGGAUCCGCGCUGCAUUAGCUAGUUGGUAAGGUAACGGCUUACCAAGGCAACGAUGCAUAGCCGACCUGAGAGGGUGAUAGCCCACACUGGAACGGAGACACGGUCCAGACGCCUACGGGAGGGAGCAGUAGGGAAUCGGCCGCAAUGGGCGAGAGCCUGACGGAGCAACGCCGCGUGAGUGAUGGAGGUCUUCGGUGCGGAAAACUCUGUUACGAGGGAAGAACAUAUGUGUAAGUAACUGUGCACAUCUUGACGGUACCUAAUCAGAAAGCCACGGCUAACUACGUG